This 447-nucleotide ribosomal RNA is filed under the name uncultured bacterium. Its description in RNAcentral is "bacterial SSU rRNA". It matches the Rfam family "Bacterial small subunit ribosomal RNA", at positions 329 to 793 of the family's 1533-position model. The record is from RNAcentral.
GUCCAGACUCCUACGGGAGGCAGCAGUGGGGAAUAUUGCACAAUGGGGGAAACCCUGAUGCAGCGACGCCGCGUGAGCGAUGAAGUAUUUCGGUAUGUAAGGCUCUCUCAGCAGGGAAGAAGAUGACGGUACCUGACUAAGAAGCCCCGGCUAACUACGUGCCAGCAGCCGCGGUAAUACGUAGGGGGCAAGCGUUAUCCGGAUUUACUGGGUGUAAAGGGAGCGUAGACGGCGAUGCAAGCCAGAUGUGAAAGCCCGGGGCUCAACCCCGGGACUGCAUUUGGAACUGUGUGGCUGGAGUGUCGGAGAGGCAGGCGGAAUUCCUAGUGUAGCGGUGAAAUGCGUAGAUAUUAGGAGGAACACCAGUGGCGAAGGCGGCCUGCUGGACGAUGACUGACGUUGAGGCUCGAAAGCGUGGGGAGCAAACAGGAUUAGAUACCCCCGUAU